AUUGAACGCUGGCGGCAGGCCUAACACAUGCAAGUCGAACGGUAACAGGAAGCAGCUUGCUGCUUUGCUGACGAGUGGCGGACGGGUGAGUAAUGUCUGGGAAACUGCCCGAUGGAGGGGGAUAACUACUGGAAACGGUAGCUAAUACCGCAUAACGUCGCAAGACCAAAGAGGGGGACCCUAGGGCCUCUUGCCAUCGGAUGUGCCCAGAUGGGAUUAGCUAGUAGGUGGGGUAACGGCUCACCUAGGCGACGAUCCCUAGCUGGUCUGAGAGGAUGACCAGCCACACUGGAACGGAGACACGGUCCAGACUCCUACGGGAGGCAGCAGUGGGGAAUAUUGCACAAUGGGCGCAAGCCUGAUGCAGCCAUGCCGCGUGUAUGAAGAAGGCCUUCGGGUUGUAAAGUACUUUCAGCGGGGAGGAAGGGAGUAAAGUUAAUACCUUCGCCCAUUGACGUUACCCGCAGAAGAAGCACCGGCUAACUCCGUG
Molecule: ribosomal RNA, 490 nt
Filed under: uncultured bacterium
Lineage: Bacteria
Description: partial 16S ribosomal RNA
Rfam family: Bacterial small subunit ribosomal RNA
Source: RNAcentral